CCUACGGGAGGCAGCAGUGGGGAAUAUUGCGCAAUGGGCGAAAGCCUGACGCAGCGACGCCGCGUGAGGGAUGGAGGUCUUCGGAUCGUAAACCUCUGUCAGCAGGGAAGAACGGUCACUGUGCUAAUCAGCAGUGAAUUGACGGUACCUGCAAAGGAAGCACCGGCUAACUCCGUGCCAGCAGCCGCGGUAAUACGGAGGGUGCGAGCGUUAAUCGGAAUUACUGGGCGUAAAGCGCUCGUAGGCGGUAUGUCAAGUCAAGGGUGAAAUCCCCGCGCUCAACGUGGGAACUGCCUUUGAAACUGGCAAACUGGAAUGUGUGAGAGGAUAGUGGAAUUCCAGGGGUAGGAGUGAAAUCCGUAGAUAUCUGGAGGAACAUCAGUGGCGAAGGCGACUAUCUGGCACAUAACUGACGCUGAGGAGCGAAAGCGUGGGUAGCAAACAGGAUUAGAUACCCUUGUAGUC
This 465-nucleotide ribosomal RNA is filed under the name uncultured bacterium. Its description in RNAcentral is "partial 16S ribosomal RNA". It matches the Rfam family "Bacterial small subunit ribosomal RNA", at positions 338 to 795 of the family's 1533-position model. The record is from RNAcentral.